GGGCGGGUGGCGGAAUUGGCAGACGCGCGAGGCUUAGGACCUCGUGCCCGCAAGGGCUUAUGGGUUCAAGUCCCGUCCCGCCCA
This 84-nucleotide transfer RNA is filed under the name Elusimicrobiota bacterium. Its description in RNAcentral is "Elusimicrobia bacterium (rhizosphere metagenome) tRNA-Leu". It matches the Rfam family "tRNA". From Rfam's summary of the family: Transfer RNA (tRNA) molecules are approximately 80 nucleotides in length. Their secondary structure includes four short double-helical elements and three loops (D, anti-codon, and T loops). Lineage: Bacteria; Pseudomonadati; Elusimicrobiota. The record is from RNAcentral.